RNAcentral lists this ribosomal RNA (448 nucleotides) under uncultured bacterium. RNAcentral describes it as "partial 16S ribosomal RNA". It matches the Rfam family "Bacterial small subunit ribosomal RNA", at positions 29 to 523 of the family's 1533-position model. The record is from RNAcentral.
AACGAACGCUGGCGGCAUGCCUAACACAUGCAAGUCGAACGAGAUCUUCGGGUCUAGUGGCGCACGGGUGCGUAACGCGUGGAAUCUGCCCUUUGGUUCGGAAUAACAGUUGGAAACGACUGCUAAUACCGGAUGAUGACGAAAGUCCAAAGAUUUAUCGCCAGAGGAUGAGCCCGCGUAGGAUUAGCUAGUUGGUGUGGUAAAGGCGCACCAAGGCGACGAUCCUUAGCUGGUCUGAGAGGAUGAUCAGCCACACUGGGACUGAGACACGGCCCAGACUCCUACGGGAGGCAGCAGUGGGGAAUAUUGGACAAUGGGCGAAAGCCUGAUCCAGCAAUGCCGCGUGAGUGAUGAAGGCCUUAGGGUUGUAAAGCUCUUUUACCCGGGAUGACAAUGACAGUACCGGGAGAAUAAGCUCCGGCUAACUCCGUGCCAGCAGCCGCCGUAA